UGAUUGCAAUCAGCAUCCACGAUCUUCUUGUAACAUGUUUGGGAUUGCUUGAGGAAAUUUCAAUGUUAUGUUGUAAGAAGAUCGUGGAUGCUGAUUGCAAUCAAAAGUGAAUUACAAGAUGCCAACAGUAUUCUACAAAAUAGUACUCAAAAGCAUUACUUGGCAUCAUUCUUAGCAAGGGCAUGAACAUGUUUCAAGGCAUCAAUUGCAUUAUCCUCGAUCUAGUUCCUGAUAAGAUUUUCAGGGUCAAAGAACAAGAACAAUGGCUUGAAUAAAAAAAAGUUCUUCAACAGAACCUAACAAACUCUUUCAUAUAUGCAAAUGCACAUCUAUAGCCUUCAAACUCGCCAAAAAAAGUUGGAAAAUAAUUUCAAGUAAUGAUUGAUCAAAAUCAAAAUUUGCUGCUUCCCACAUUACUAGCAACGGAUAUGAUGUACCAUAAUGAUUUUCAUGAUACCAUGCUCUUUCAGACAGGGAAAAUGCAACUUGCUAUUAACAUGGUGGCAUAAACAACCUUUUAUUCUCUUUUGUUCUACAACAUCAUAUUCUUUUGACUGACUGAAUACUUCACUUAGCUGCAUCAUCAUGUUCGGGAACCAUAGAAUCAUCAUUGGAAGAUGAUCCUUUUGCUGAUGGAAAGUAAGACCAUGCUAAAGCUGCAGUGCCAAGGGUAAUUACUGUAGCAAUUGAUCCCCAAACCCAUCGCUGCCUUCUUUUCCCAACCUGCCUAUUACGCCGAGCCAUCUUCUUGGUUCCUCUGAGACAUUUCUUGAUUCACAGCCUCAUAAUAAUGAAGCCGAUCCCACAAUCGAGCAAUCUCAAAGUUCUUUGCGUCAAUCUGAGCUUCUUUCUCCAUCUCCACCUCAGCUUUUGCAAUGCCCCUCCCAAUG
Molecule: unclassified non-coding RNA, 890 nt
Filed under: Hevea brasiliensis (rubber tree)
Lineage: Eukaryota; Viridiplantae; Streptophyta; Magnoliopsida; Malpighiales; Euphorbiaceae
Source: RNAcentral